AGCAAAGUGGCCGAGAAUUAGGCGAAAGAUUGUAGCUCUUUUCACGGAUCAUACCCUUUGCAA
Molecule: transfer RNA, 63 nt
Filed under: Pseudocuneopsis capitata
Lineage: Eukaryota; Metazoa; Mollusca; Bivalvia; Unionida; Unionidae
Description: Cuneopsis capitatus tRNA-Tyr
Source: RNAcentral